RNAcentral lists this ribosomal RNA (253 nucleotides) under uncultured bacterium. Its description in RNAcentral is "partial 16S ribosomal RNA". It matches the Rfam family "Bacterial small subunit ribosomal RNA", at positions 524 to 776 of the family's 1533-position model. The record is from RNAcentral.
UACGUAGGCAGCAAGCGUUGUUCGGAGUUACUGGGCGUAAAGAGUGUGUAGGCGGUUCUCUAAGUCUGGUGUGAAAUCUCCCGGCUUAACUGGGAGGGUGCGCCGAAAACUGGAGGGCUUGAGUAUGGGAGAGGAAAGCGGAAUUCCUGGUGUAGCGGUGAAAUGCGUAGAUAUCAGGAGGAACACCUGUGGUGUAGACGGCUUUCUGGACCAUCACUGACGCUGAGACACGAAAGCGUGGGGAGCAAACAGG